GAUGAACGCUGGCGGCGUGCCUAAUACAUGCAAGUCGAGCGAACGGACGAGAAGCUUGCUUCUCUGAUGUUAGCGGCGGACGGGUGAGUAACACGUGGAUAACCUACCUAUAAGACUGGGAUAACUUCGGGAAACCGGAGCUAAUACCGGAUAAUAUUUUGAACCGCAUGGUUCAAAAGUGAAAGACGGUCUUGCUGUCACUUAUAGAUGGAUCCGCGCUGCAUUAGCUAGUUGGUAAGGUAACGGCUUACCAAGGCAACGAUGCAUAGCCGACCUGAGAGGGUGAUCGGCCACACUGGAACUGAGACACGGUCCAGACUCCUACGGGAGGCAGCAGUAGGGAAUCUUCCGCAAUGGGCGAUAGCCUGACGGAGCAACGCCGCGUGAGUGAUGAAGGUCUUCGGAUCGUAAAACUCUGUUAUUAGGGAAGAACAUAUGUGUAAGUAACUGUGCACAUCUUGACGGUACCUAAGCAGAAAGCCACGGCUAACUACGU
This 496-nucleotide ribosomal RNA is filed under the name uncultured bacterium. RNAcentral's name for it is "partial 16S ribosomal RNA". It matches the Rfam family "Bacterial small subunit ribosomal RNA", at positions 28 to 506 of the family's 1533-position model. The record is from RNAcentral.